UACGGAGGGAGCUAGCGUUGUUCGGAAUUACUGGGCGUAAAGCGCACGUAGGCGGCUACUCAAGUCAGAGGUGAAAGCCCGGGACUCAACCCCGGAACUGCCUUUGAAACUAGGUGGCUAGAAUCUUGGAGAGGUCAGUGGAAUUCCGAGUGUAGAGGUGAAAUUCGUAGAUAUUCGGAAGAACACCAGUGGCGAAGGCGACUGACUGGACAAGUAUUGACGCUGAGGUGCGAAAGCGUGGGGAGCAAACAGG
Molecule: ribosomal RNA, 253 nt
Filed under: uncultured bacterium
Lineage: Bacteria
Description: partial 16S ribosomal RNA
Rfam family: Bacterial small subunit ribosomal RNA
Source: RNAcentral